This 453-nucleotide ribosomal RNA is filed under the name Triticum aestivum (bread wheat). Its description in RNAcentral is "partial small subunit ribosomal RNA". Lineage: Eukaryota; Viridiplantae; Streptophyta; Magnoliopsida; Poales; Poaceae. The record is from RNAcentral.
AUGGGCGACGGAAAGGCUGCUGUGAUAGACAAUGUGGAAGGAAAAUUGAGGAAUCUGAAGCUCUCAGAUGCAAAAAAGAAAAGCAUCAAGAUUGGGAAGAAAUAUGCUUGUUCCCCUGAGGUGAGUAAGUUUCAGGUGGUGGGUAAACUUCUGUCUGAAAAACCGGUUAAAGCAGAGUAUUUGGGUAGAGCAUUGAGUGGUGCUUGGUGCCCCUUCUCAAGAGUAGAAUGCAAGGGCCUGGGUAAGAAUCGAUUCCUGUUUAGAUUCCAUGAUGAGGUGAGCAAGAACAAAGCACUAAAGAGCGGACCAUGGAUGUUUAACAAAGACUUACUGGUGAUGGAAGACUUUAUGCCAAGCAAAACUAUAGAUGAUUAUGAGUUUAAGUCAAUUCCUAUAUGGGUGAGAGCUUACAGCACACCAAUGGGAACGAUGAGCCUAGAAACAGGGGAGUUG